GACGAACGCUGGCGGCGUGCUUAACACAUGCAAGUCGAACGGAAAGGCCCUGCUUUUGUGGGGUGCUCGAGUGGCGAACGGGUGAGUAACACGUGAGUAACCUGCCCUUGACUUUGGGAUAACUUCAGGAAACUGGGGCUAAUACCGGAUAGGAGCUCCUGCUGCAUGGUGGGGGUUGGAAAGUUUCGGCGGUUGGGGAUGGACUAGCGGCUUAUCAGCUUGUUGGUGGGGUAGUGGCUUACCAAGGCUUUGACGGGUAGCCGGCCUGAGAGGGUGACCGGCCACAUUGGGACUGCGAUACGGCCCAGACUCCUACGGUAGGCAGCAGUGGGGAGUAUUGCACAAUGGGCGGAAGCCUGAGGCAGCAACGCUGCGUGCGGGAUGACGGCCUUCGGGUUGUAAACCGCUUUCGCCGGUGACGAAGCGUGAGUGACGGUAAUGGGUAAAGAAGCACCGGCUAACUACGUG
This 468-nucleotide ribosomal RNA is filed under the name uncultured bacterium. RNAcentral's name for it is "partial 16S ribosomal RNA". It matches the Rfam family "Bacterial small subunit ribosomal RNA", at positions 28 to 507 of the family's 1533-position model. The record is from RNAcentral.